GUAUCUAAUCCUGUUUGAUCCCCACGCUUUCGCACCUCAGCGUCAGUAUCAGUCCAGUGAGUCGCCUUCGCCACUGAUGUUCCUUCCUAUAUCUACGCAUUUCACCGCUACACAGGAAAUUCCACUCACCUCUACUGUACUCUAGUCUGCCAGUAUCAACUGCAAUUCCCAGGUUGAGCCCGGGGCUUUCACAGCUGACUUAACAGACCGCCUACGCGCGCUUUACGCCCAGUAAUUCCGAUUAACGCUCGCACCCUCCGUAUUACCGCGGCUGCUGGCACGGAGUUAGCCGGUGCUUCUUUUGUGGGUAAUGUCACACUCGUCAGUUAUUAGCUAACAAGCUUUCUUCCCCACUGAAAGUGCUUUACAACCCUAGAGCCUUCUUCACACACGCGGCAUGGCUGGAUCAGGCUUUCGCCCAUUGUCCAAUAUUCCCCACUGCUGCCUCCCGUAGGAGUCUGGGCCGUGUCUCAGUCCCAGUGUGGCUGAUCAUCCUCUCAGACCAGCUACGGAUCGUCGCCUUGGUGAGCCAUUACCUCACCAACAAGCUAAUCCGACGCAGACUCAUCCAAUAGCGCAAGGUCCGAAGAUCCCCUGCUUUCCCCCGUAGGGCGUAUGCGGUAUUAGCCUGGUUUUCACCAGGUUGUCCCCCACUACUGGGCAGAUUUCUGCGCAUUACUCACCCGUCCGCCGCUCUACUCAUCCCCGAAGGAAUUUUCGCGCUCGACUUGCAUGUGUUAGGCCUGCCGCCAGCGUUCAAUCUGAGCCAGGAUCAAACUCU
Molecule: ribosomal RNA, 781 nt
Filed under: uncultured bacterium
Lineage: Bacteria
Description: partial 16S ribosomal RNA
Source: RNAcentral